RNAcentral lists this ribosomal RNA (515 nucleotides) under uncultured Porphyromonadaceae bacterium. Its description in RNAcentral is "partial 16S ribosomal RNA". Lineage: Bacteria; Pseudomonadati; Bacteroidota; Bacteroidia; Bacteroidales; Porphyromonadaceae. The record is from RNAcentral.
CACGGAGUUAGCCGAUGCUUUUUCUCCGGGUACUCUCCAAACCGCACACGUGCGGCACUUUGCUCCCCGGCAAAAGAGGUUUACAACCCAUAGGGCCGUCAUCCCUCACGCGACUUGGCUGGUUCAGGCUCCUGCCCAUUGACCAAUAUUCCUCACUGCUGCCUCCCGUAGGAGUCUGGUCCGUGUCUCAGUACCAGUGUGGGGGACCUUCCUCUCAGAACCCCUACGCAUCGUCGUCUUGGUGGUCCGUUACACCGCCAACUAACUAAUGCGACGCAUGCCCAUCCGCCACCGGAAUCAACCUUUGGCACCAACAGGAUGUCCCGUCGAUGCAUUAUGCCGUAUUAGACGGGAUUUCUCCCGAUUAUCCGGCCGUGGCAGGCAGGUUGCAUACGUGUUACUCACCCGUGCCGCCGGUCGCCGGCUGGGUAAGGCAAGCCUUCACCACCGCUCGCCCCUCGACUUGCAUGUGUUAAGCCUGUCGCUAGCGUUCACUCCUGAGCCGAGGACUACCG